Molecule: ribosomal RNA, 253 nt
Filed under: uncultured bacterium
Lineage: Bacteria
Description: partial 16S ribosomal RNA
Rfam family: Bacterial small subunit ribosomal RNA
Source: RNAcentral
UACGAAGGGGGCGAGCGUUGUUCGGAAUUACUGGGCGUAAAGCGUGCGUAGGUGGUUCGUUAAGUCUGUCGUGAAAGCCCCGGGCUCAACCUGGGAAUGGCGAUGGAUACUGGCGGGCUAGAGUGCGGUAGAGGAGAGUGGAAUUCCCGGUGUAGCAGUGAAAUGCGUAGAGAUCGGGAGGAACAUCAGUUGCGAAGGCGGCUCUCUGGACCAGCACUGACACUGAGGCACGAAAGCGUGGGGAGCAAACAGG